GAUGAAGAACGUAGCGAAAUGCGAUAAGUAAUGUGAAUUGCAGAAUUCAGUGAAUCAUCGAAUCUUUGAACGCACAUUGCGCCCGCCAGUAUUCUGGCGGGCAUGCCUGUUCGAGCGUCAUUUCAACCAUCAAGCCCCCGGCUUGUGUUGGGGACCUGCGGCUGCCGCAGGCCCUGAAAACCAGUGGCGGGCUCGCUAGUCACUCCGAGCGUAGUAAUACAUCUCGCUCAGGGCGUGCUGCGGGUUCCGGCCGUUAAAACGCCUUAUUUACCCAAGGUUGACCUCGGAUCAGGUAGGAAGACCCGCUGAACUUAAGCAUAUCAAUAAGCGGAGGA
This 335-nucleotide unclassified non-coding RNA is filed under the name soil metagenome. Its description in RNAcentral is "partial contains 5.8S ribosomal RNA, internal transcribed spacer 2, and large subunit ribosomal RNA". The stretch from base 1 to 120 matches the Rfam family "5.8S ribosomal RNA", at positions 35 to 154 of the family's 154-position model. The record is from RNAcentral.